This 3945-nucleotide ribosomal RNA is filed under the name Triticum aestivum (bread wheat). RNAcentral describes it as "partial small subunit ribosomal RNA". The record is from RNAcentral. Lineage: Eukaryota; Viridiplantae; Streptophyta; Magnoliopsida; Poales; Poaceae.
AUUUGUGGGGAGGGGGCAUAUUUAGUGACAUAAAGUUUAUCGGAGGGGUUGGUUUUGUGGGGGCUAAAAAAAUAAAUAAACUAAAGCCCUUCUCCUCCCCGCUCUCUAUCUCUCUACCUGCUCCGCACCCUCUCCCGCCACCUCCGCCGCGAGGUGUGGCGGCCGCUCCCCUCGAGCAGCGGCCGCUCCUCGGACUGGGAGCUGCCGCGGCAGUUCACGUACGUGCCCGCGAACGGCCGCGGCCUCUAUGACCUCGCGGUGGUCUCGGACCUCGUAGAGAGCUAGCGUCCGCAGCCCCAGCGCAGCGAGCGCCCCAAGGGGGCCGACGCCUUGGAGUGCGCGGACUGCGAGAGGCUGUUGGCGUAGCGGCCGCCCGAGCUCGUGGAGCAGCUCCGCCCCGAGCCAAGCGACGCGCUGGAGCUGGAGUCGUUGUUAGCGUAGGUUCUACACCUGCUGGAGCGCGGCGAGCGGGCGGAGGCGGAGCAGAGUGAGCUGGAGAUGCUCACGGGGCAGUGCGCCCAGUUCCUGAUGUCUAGGUCCCACAAGCCCAACUAGGCCUGAGAGUUCAUGGAGCUGUUCUACCUGCGGCUGCUCUUGCUCGCGGGCCUCAGCCUGCUGCUGCUGCUGCUACCCCUGCCGCUUCCACUACCGCUCCUUCUUCUACUACUACUCCUGCUGCUACUGCUCCUAGGACCUUCGCCGCUCCACCGUUUGCCCCCGCAGAGGGUGAGCGCUCCAUCGCACCGUGGCGCGGGUCACCUCCACUUACCCCACUAGCUACACCUACUCCUACUCUCGCUCCGGCUGCUCCAGCACGGGUUACCCCCUCGGCUCGUGGUGGUGUCCCGGUUGCCCAAGUCCCAACGUCGCCAACCCCAUCGGGGACUACUCCUACUACUUCUGCACCUCCUACUGCUGCUGCUACGUCUGCUUCUCAUACUCCUCCUACUAAACCCUCUCCUCUAUCUACUCCUCCCACUACUUCUACUGUGACAACAACUCCAUGAACUGCACGGGUCAUCACUACUACUCCUCCUACCGUAGCUACUCCUACUACUACUACUCCUCCUCCAACUCCUACUACUACCACUCCUCCGACUCGGUCUCUCAUCACCCUCCCAACGAUGCCGCCACCCCCCGCAACCUCUUCUCUAGCUACCUGUACUCGUUCCACUUCCACUACUACUCCUACUCUUACCACUCUAGCCUCUCCUUCUGCUCCUUUCUAACCUCCUAUCAUCCCAAAUACUCCUCCUGUUGCUACUACUGCUACGACUACUACUCCUACUUCUGUGUCUUAUAGAACAAGUUGGUUAACACUGCGGGGUUCGGCACCGACAACCUUCAGGUCCCCUGAAACUAUAACGACUGGGACUACUACAACUACUUCUGUCUCUGCUCCAACUACUACUACUGCUACUCCCACCACGUCUGGUCGGCAGCAGGAGCGUCCCAUGGUUCGCCUUCUCCCUACUACUGGGUAGUCCGUCGCCGUCGCUGCUACUCCUACUACUAUUACUUCUGGGCUCCGGCAAGUUCGUGGUCACUGGUAACAUGUACCUAGUAGGGGAAGGAGUGGGGAAGAAGAGUCCAUCUUUCUUCAUUAGUCCUCGUCGUCGUCGUCGUCGUCGUUUUGUCUUUACCACCCAAAGGGGGACAAAAGGAAUCGGCAAAAAGAACAUUUCUGAAACCAAACCCCUCCCGAAGUGGGAGGAAAAAUUUGUCGUCUAAAAUCCUCCCUUUUACCUCAACAUCAGUCACUUGGUCGAAGGGAGAAACGGACGUGGGAACGACUCAAAAGGGAGGUAUUAAACUUUACCAUCAAUGUUGUGGGGUCCCCCAAAGGGAGGUAGGAAACUUUAAGGACAAUGUUAACGGUCAUAUCCGACGUGUAACAGUCCAAAGGGAGGUUCUCUUUCGGGCCCUUUACCGGGGGAAACUUUACGGGGAUCAUCGGCAACGGACGUAAACUUUUUAAAUAUGAAACGGGACCAACUUGACAGACAGACACGACACACGAAGAAUGACUACUACUGACCGGCGGCCGAGACGGGACGGCCGCCAAGACGCGCCCGCGAUGGACGAAACUCUAUCCACUUUACCGACACCAACGUCGCUACCGAGGGAGGGAGGAUAUCGUUUACCCGAAACCUCAAUAAAUCGUUAAAAACCGAUGGCUCCGAAGCGGAACGCGACGACACAGAGACCAAGUGCCACCACACGAGGCACGGCCAGAUGGUUGCUCCGGGCUCGACGCAGGGAGACGGUCCACCCAGGGGAAGGCACCGAUCGAAAGCGGAGCGCCUCGGAACUAAAAAGCAACUCUUCUCAUUUUCCCCCUCCGGCGCCACCCACCCACCCACUCCUACGCUACGCUACCGCCUCAUGUCGACGAGGGAAAGCGAAAAGAAAAACCGUUCAACGCGGCGCGUCGCGCUCACCACCCACCCCAUUGCGCUGGCCACCGCCGCGCUCGGCACUACCGGACCGCGCGGCACCGCACUCCGCGCCCUACUCGCGCGACGGACAGCCACCUCGCCGAGCUCCUCCUCUCUUUUCUAGGGUCGCCUAAACCCACCUACGGUAGGAACCUACGAAGGGCAAAGAUCCCGCUGGGACGACGAAAGAAACCGGCUACCCCCUAUAAUGCGGGGACGGGGACGGGGACGGGACUCGAGAGACCGGGUAGGCAUAACUUAUAGGCCGAGGGGCUCAAACUGCGCAGAGACGCGACGCGACUUUAAUUUUGCCUCCCCCUUCUUGCUGUGCGGAGGGAGACGCAAACGGCCCAGGUGCGACGCACGACCAGGGCGUACAGUCAGCGAGUGCCACGCAAAACGACGAAGCGCAAAGCGAAGCCUCUAGAUAUACGCGGCGGCGGCUUGCCACGACCUAAUCCAAUUGAUCCCACGUAUAAAAGAAGAGCGACCUCAUUAGUCGCCCGGGCAGACCUGACUUUCGACAUGCGCUCACCUGCCUAGUCCAAGUUCCAUCGACCUUUAAGGUAUACAUCUUUUAUAUAAUUACCAACCAAUUACCAAUAAUAACCCUCAUUAAUUGAACCCGGUCGUCGUACGGAACGGGGCGCGCGAGACGCGGCGCCACCUGAGCCAGGUAUGGUGCAACACGGCGACGCAGAACACCGGGUGGCACAAAGAUCCGAGAAGACUGACACACCAGGCACAGAUGUCUAGGGACGCGCGUUGCCGGCGCUACUCCUUCCUCCCCUGUCGGUCCUGUCCGUCCGCUGGUGCGCUACGGGCACUCGGCACACCAGCAAGCACCACCCCUCGACGUCCUAGCCUGCCGUGACCUACCUUUCGCCAACGCACGCGAACACGACGCCGCACCUCGCCCGGGAGCCGAGUGGUUCAACGCCCGCCCACGGUAAAACGCAUACACCUGGCCCGGAUCUCCGACGUCGCGCAACCCCUGAACCCUUCAGUUUCAUCAAACCGGCCCAGUCCGUACGCCCCCCGGUACCCCGGUGGCAGUCACUUCACCCUCUCCUCUCUCGUUGCCUUUUGCUGGGCUACGACCCGCCCGCUGUCAAGGUAGAUUUUUUUUCUUUCUUUCUUUAUAAACGUCAAGUGGCUCUCGUUAUAUACGAGGCAAACAAUCUAAGUCUCUUCAAUUGUAAGCUGUACGAGUAUGGUUUCAGCGAGAUAUUAGUUUCAAUGAGUCUUUUUUUUUAGCGAGAUAUACUUCCGGUUUUCCAACGUGGGAGUACAUAGGGGAUCGGUUUUAUUUCGAUCACUAACAGAACGAUCAAAACGAUCCGUUUCUUGAUACUACACCGAUCCAAGCCCGGGAGGGUCCCAGGAUCUUAACCACGUUCUGAUCGCUUGGAGCGCGCCGCCGUGCAGCGCGGGCAGAUAAUAUGUAGGACCAAAUAAAACACGUAAGUGAAGUAAACAUUAUACAAUUAAUCUCUCGUUAGAACCC